RNAcentral lists this transfer RNA (68 nucleotides) under Omosudis lowii (hammerjaw). RNAcentral describes it as "tRNA-Phe". It matches the Rfam family "tRNA". Rfam says of the family: Transfer RNA (tRNA) molecules are approximately 80 nucleotides in length. Their secondary structure includes four short double-helical elements and three loops (D, anti-codon, and T loops). The record is from RNAcentral. Lineage: Eukaryota; Metazoa; Chordata; Actinopteri; Aulopiformes; Alepisauridae.
GCCUACGUAGUUUAACGAGAAUAUAACACUGAAGAUGUUAAGAUGGACCCUGAAAAGUCUCGUAAGCA